This 465-nucleotide ribosomal RNA is filed under the name Vreelandella stevensii. RNAcentral's name for it is "partial 16S ribosomal RNA". It matches the Rfam family "Bacterial small subunit ribosomal RNA", at positions 338 to 795 of the family's 1533-position model. The record is from RNAcentral. Lineage: Bacteria; Pseudomonadati; Pseudomonadota; Gammaproteobacteria; Oceanospirillales; Halomonadaceae.
CCUACGGGGGGCUGCAGUGGGGAAUAUUGGACAAUGGGGGCAACCCUGAUCCAGCCAUGCCGCGUGUGUGAAGAAGGCCCUCGGGUUGUAAAGCACUUUCAGUGGGGAAGAACGCCUGGUGGUUAAUACCCAUCAGGAAAGACAUCACUCACAGAAGAAGCACCGGCUAACUCCGUGCCAGCAGCCGCGGUAAUACGGAGGGUGCGAGCGUUAAUCGGAAUUACUGGGCGUAAAGCGCGCGUAGGUGGCUUGAUAAGCCGGUUGUGAAAGCCCCGGGCUCAACCUGGGAACGGCAUCCGGAACUGUCAAGCUAGAGUGCAGGAGAGGAAGGUAGAAUUCCCGGUGUAGCGGUGAAAUGCGUAGAGAUCGGGAGGAAUACCAGUGGCGAAGGCGGCCUUCUGGACUGACACUGACACUGAGGUGCGAAAGCGUGGGUAGCAAACAGGAUUAGAUACCCCAGUAGUC